GAGCGCGAGGCGGGCGGGCGGAGGCCCAGGCGCGGGGCCGGGACGCGGGGCGGGCAGAGGCCCAGGCGCGGGGCCGGGACGUGAAGUGGGCGGGCAGAGGCCCAGGCGCGGGGCCGGGACGCGGGGCGCGGGGUGGGCGGAGGCCCAGGCGCCAGGCCCGGACGCGGGGCGGGCGCGUCCAUCCGAGGCCCGGGCCGCCUCUCAGUCGGGCUGCGGGGCCGUGUCGUGGGCACCGUGGGCACCGCCCAGGCACCUGCCGGCCCCGGGUGAGGCCGCGGGUCGGGGUCCCCAACCCGCUGGGGGGCGAAUGGGCCCGGUGCCAGAAGGCCCUUCAGGGUCUUGAGGAAAGCCCGCUGCCCUCUCCCGCCUCUGCUUGCGGAGCUGAGCGCCUCCGGCGGUGGUGUUGGGAAGCGAGCGGGAGGAAGCGGCAGGGCGGCAGCAGAUGGCAAGCCUGUGUGGGGGUCGUGGCUUCCCAGAUUCGAGAUUCUAGAAAGUUGAUCCCCAAACAUUAUGAACAUCCGCCUACGCGAGCCUCUGGCAAAAUUAAAUGUCCAGGGGCUGCAGGAACUAAUGAGCUUCACCAUAGAGUUUGUCCUUGAAGCAAAAGGUAUUUGCACAAGCAAGUUCUGAUGGAAGCAUACAGAAUGCAUGAGACCCCGAUCACUGGGAUCCCCCUUCUCCGAGGGCCAGAGACAACCAGCAGCACAGCGGGGCGGGUUCCUGGGAAGAGAGCAAUCAUGUCACCCACCGCGCAAACGAGCAAGCGGAGGAAAGGCAGGGCCGUGCAAGCGCUGCUCCGACCAGUAGGCCGGAAGGUGCCCAACUCUCCUUUCUUAAAACAACUAAAUAUCGGUGUGAAAACUCGAAUGAAGAGGCCCACGACGCUGAAGACAAGGACGAAAAAGAGAAGUUUAACAAAAAACAAGAAGGACCCGAAAACGCUCUGGACCCCACAGACAGCACACCGAGAAAAUCCAGUUGGGAGGAAUAGAAAGAAGAUGGAGAAAGAAGAAAGAACCUGCUCUUCACCCUUUAGGUUUUUCGUUUUUUAGAAGCCCAAGGGAAUUUUAUCAACACUGAUUUCAUUCCAACUUCAUCACCCCAAAAGUGACAUCCACUGACAUCUGACUUUUCCCUUACAUUUUGCAGAUAUAUUUGACAGCAUUUCUUCUAGUUAAAAAAUUUGUUUUAAAUUAAUAAACUGAAAUGAAGGCAGAUUUUAUUUACAUAAAUAAUCCUGACAAAUCUUUUACCUCAUUUUUUUUUUUUUUGGCUUACUGUACCUUCAUUAAGACUUAUCACUUUCCACCAUUUGGUAAGCCUAUAUUUAUUAUUUUAUUGUAGCUCAAAAUAAGUUAAAAUGUCAAGUUUAAAAUAAUUUUGUGAAGAGAGAGAUGGAGGUCAAGCCUUUAAUGCUGCACUGUCCACUGUUAGUCACUAGCCACAUCUGGCUCCUGAGCACUUGAAAUAUGGCUAGUCUGAUUUGAGAUGUGCUACAGGUAUAAAAAAAAGUUACAUGUCUUACUAAUAAUUUUAUACUGAUUACAUGUUGAAGUGAU
Long non-coding RNA from Equus caballus (horse), 1559 nucleotides. NCBI's taxonomy places the organism in Eukaryota, Metazoa, Chordata, Mammalia, Perissodactyla, Equidae. The record is from Ensembl.